This 443-nucleotide ribosomal RNA is filed under the name uncultured bacterium. Its description in RNAcentral is "partial 16S ribosomal RNA". It matches the Rfam family "Bacterial small subunit ribosomal RNA", at positions 339 to 795 of the family's 1533-position model. The record is from RNAcentral.
CUACGGGUGGCUCCAGCCGAGAAUAUUCGUCAAUGGGCGAAAGCCUGAACGAGCGACACCGCGUGCAGGAUGAAGGUAUUCGUAUUGUAAACUGCUUUUCUCUGGGAAGAAUUUCGAUGACGGUACCAGAGGAAUAAGAGGUUACUAACUCUGUGCCAGCAGUAGCGGUAAUACAGAGACCUCAAGCGUUAUCCGGAUUUAUUGGGCGUAGAGCGCGCGCAGGUGGACCUGUUAGUCAGAUGUCAAAUUACUUCGCUCAACGGAGUAGCUGCAUUUGAAACGGCAGGUCUUGAGAGAGUGAGAGAUCACUGGAACGCAUGGUGUAGUAGUGAAAUGCGUUGAUAUCAUGCGGAACACCCAAGGCGAAGGCAGGUGGUUGGCACUCUUCUGACACUGAGGCGCGAGAGCGUGGGGAGCGAAUAGGAUUAGAUACCCUCGUAGUC